AAACACGGACCAAGGAGUCUAACAUGUGCGCGAGUCAAUGGGACCUCCGAAUCCCAAAGGCGCAAUGAAAGUGAAAAAUGUGAAGCGGCUCGUCCGCAGAGAUUGAGGGAGGAUGGGCCGGGGCAAUUGUACAUUUUCGAACCCCCGCGCCCCGCACUCCCGGGGCGUCGUUUUCGGCGCACCUAGAGCGCACACGUUGGUACCCGAAAGAUGGUGAACUAUGCCUGGCCAGGACGAAGCCAGGGGAAACCCUGGUGGAGGUCCGUAGCGAUUCUGACGUGCAAAUCGAUCGUCUGAGCUGGGUAUAGGGGCGAAAGACUAAUCGAACCAUCUAGUAGCUG
RNAcentral lists this ribosomal RNA (341 nucleotides) under Brachytrupes membranaceus. RNAcentral's name for it is "eukaryotic LSU rRNA". It matches the Rfam family "Eukaryotic large subunit ribosomal RNA", at positions 657 to 953 of the family's 3401-position model. Lineage: Eukaryota; Metazoa; Arthropoda; Insecta; Orthoptera; Gryllidae. The record is from RNAcentral.